AAAGUACAUUUCCUUAUCAGAAGAAAAAGAAAAUGCAUAUGCACAACAUGAAAUGGUUCAGUUUCCAAAAAUAAUUCUUAGGAAACUAAUGAUCACUAUAGAAUAGCUGAUAAGACCAACAGGUUUUUGUUCUUAUUUCUGUCCCACCUGGUCUAGGAAUUUCUCAUUCCUCAGAAACUGGUUGGCCUAAGCUUCCUGCUCUGAUUAAAGUUACAUGUAGCUUGCAUUUUUCUGUUUUAAAUAUAUGUAUUCCUCAGUGUGUAUUCUUUGAGGAUAGGAGUAUGAUUUAAAGGAAGAAUCUUGUUCUUUGUGUGUUUAUGCAGCAUAUAUGAUUAACAUUCUAUUUUUUGCUUCCACUUUCACUGCUAUAUGGAUCAUUCCUCAGAUAAAUCUGUGUCUUCUUUCUGGGAAUUUUCUAUCAAGAGUCUAAGGGAUUUGGUAACUGCUGCAAUGGAGUAGAGUACUACCUCCCAAAAUGUAUUCCAUGGACACUGAAUCCCUAUGAAUUGGUAAUUCAUGUUCCCUCUAAUAACACCAUCUAGGACUCAUGUUCUUUUUGGAAAAGGUUUACAAGAAGAGGGGAUAUUUGAUCUUGAUCCUGAAGACUUAGUAAGAACUCAAGCAGGAACCCAACUAGAGAGAGAGGUUAAUGACAUAUUAGUCUAGACUAUGUUAAAGUAUGGACAAGUCCAAAAACUUGGCAUGUCUGGGAAGCUUUGGAAUGUCCAUAGUGAAGGGUAUCUGUGAGUGAGAGGUGGGAGAGGGAAGGAAGGAGGAAUUUGGACCAGAGCUUGAAAUGUCUGCAAUACUAUGUUGGAUUUCUCCUGUUUGUCCCCCCAGACCACUCUCUACCUUUGCACACCUUAUUCACGGAAGGAUAUCAAUGGAUUCCUUGCCUUCCAGCUUCUGGUUGGAUUCACCUAGUGGAGAUCCCUGGAAGGCGAUUAGAAGAAGAAGAGUGAGGUCAGAGCAUUUGCUCCAUUGGUUCCUUUCAUGAGAUGUCAUCCUGAGUUAGCUGCUCCCCAGCUGAUGGUCACUGGCCUUCUAAUGAUUGAUAGUCAACUCAACUUGUCCUUUAAAGAUCAGGUUAAAACCAUCCAUUGCGUGGAGAAAUGCCACUGUGGGAUUGCAAGUCUCAGAACCAAGACUUCCAUGUGUCUUUUUCUCCAGUGAAGUAGCUGAAGGUCUGGAGCUGAACUUGUAAAUGCCAUUGUGUCUUUGAAUCUCAAAUCUAGACUGAUAAAAGUCCUUAAAGGUCCUCUGGUUCAACCUUC
Long non-coding RNA from Phyllostomus discolor (pale spear-nosed bat), 1274 nucleotides. RefSeq lists it as uncharacterized. The transcript has 2 exons. NCBI's taxonomy places the organism in Eukaryota, Metazoa, Chordata, Mammalia, Chiroptera, Phyllostomidae. The record is from RefSeq and is a predicted model, not a curated record.